Long non-coding RNA from Capsella rubella, 494 nucleotides. RefSeq lists it as uncharacterized. Lineage: Eukaryota; Viridiplantae; Streptophyta; Magnoliopsida; Brassicales; Brassicaceae. The transcript is spliced from 2 exons. The record is from RefSeq and is a predicted model, not a curated record.
UAUUCUCUAAACCAUAAGCAAAAAAAAAAAAAAAAAAAAAAAAAACAAAUAGGCUGCUGCAUAUAUCGCUUAUUAUGACUGGUGUGACCUUGGAAUUGAUUGUCUCUGAUGACAAGGGUGUCAAGAUUCAUGGUGAAGAAUAUAAUCCCGUGAAAGUUUGUGAAGAUUAGUGAAAAUAGAUUUAACUGAAAAGAAAAAAAGUUUGAUCAUACGGGUCAAUUGUUAUAUCACAUUAGAACUCUGAAACCUUUGGUACCUUGGAGAGGAGCAAUUUGGAUCUAGGGAGGAAUUUCUAAACAUAGCUUCCUCAGCUGGCUAAUUUUACUCAACCGUUGUCCUGCAGAGGAGGACAUAAUAUAAUUAUUAGUUGGGGAUUGACAACAGACCCGAUUUGCCUUCUAUGUAACAAGACCACUUAUUUUUUUUUUAAUGUACUUAUAAGUGUUGUAUUACUAACUUUACUUUAGCAAUCAAAUUACAAACCAAUUCGGAAA